CGCCGCGGUAACACCGGCGGCCCGAGUGGUAACCGCUAUUAUUGGGUCUAAAGGGUCUGUAGCCGGCCAGGUAAGUCCCUUGGGAAAUCUGGCAGCUCAACUGUCAGGCUGCUAGGGGAUACUGUUUGGCUUGGGACCGGGAGAGGUGAGAGGUACCUUGGGGGUAGGGGUGAAAUCUUGUGAUCCUCGAGGGACCACCAGUGGCGAAGGCGUCUCACCAGAACGGGUCCGACGGUAAGGGACGAAAGCUAGGGGCACGAACCGGAUUAGAUACCCGGGUAGUCCUAGCCGUAAACGAUGCUCGCUAGGUGUCAGUCACGGUGCGACUGUGAUUGGUGCCGUAGGGAAGCCGUGAAGCGAGCAACCU
This 367-nucleotide ribosomal RNA is filed under the name uncultured archaeon. RNAcentral describes it as "bacterial SSU rRNA". It matches the Rfam family "Archaeal small subunit ribosomal RNA", at positions 463 to 829 of the family's 1478-position model. The record is from RNAcentral.